RNAcentral lists this ribosomal RNA (406 nucleotides) under uncultured bacterium. RNAcentral describes it as "partial 16S ribosomal RNA". It matches the Rfam family "Bacterial small subunit ribosomal RNA", at positions 29 to 526 of the family's 1533-position model. The record is from RNAcentral.
AUUGAACGCUGGCGGCAGGCCUAACACAUGCAAGUCGAGCGAGCGGCGGGCGGGGGAGAAAUGCCUGGGAAACUGCCGGACGGAGGGGGAUAACUACGGGAAACGGUGGCUAAUACCGCAGACCAUCAGAUGUGCACAGAUGGGAUUAGCUGGUAGGUGGGGUAACGGCUCACCUAGGCGACGAUCCCUGGCUGGUCUGAGAGGAUGACCAGCCAAACUGGAACUGAGACAGGGUCCGGACUCCUACGGGGGGAAGCAGUGGGAAAUAUUGCACAAUGGGCGCAGGCUUGAUGAGGCAAUGCGCCGUGGGUGAGGAGGGCCUUGGGGUUGUAAGGCCCGUUCAGCGGGGAGGCGUUACCCGCAGAAGAAGCAACGGCUAACUCCGUGCCAGCAGCCGCGGUAAUUC